This 484-nucleotide ribosomal RNA is filed under the name uncultured bacterium. RNAcentral describes it as "partial 16S ribosomal RNA". It matches the Rfam family "Bacterial small subunit ribosomal RNA", at positions 30 to 507 of the family's 1533-position model. The record is from RNAcentral.
AUUGAACGCUGGCGGCAGGCCUAACACAUGCAAGUCGAGCGGAUGAAGGGAGCUUGCUCCUGGAUUCAGCGGCGGACGGGUGAGUAAUGCCUAGGAAUCUGCCUGGUCGUGGGGGAUAACGUCCGGAAACGGGCGCUAAUACCGCAUACGUCCUGAGGGAGAAAGUGGGGGAUCUUCGGACCUCACGCUAUCAGAUGAGCCUAGUUCGGAUUAGCUAGUUGGUGGGGUAAAGGCCUACCAAGGCGACGAUCCGUAACUGGUCUGAGAGGAUGAUCAGUCACACUGGAACUGAGACACGGUCCAGACUCCUACGGGAGGCAGCAGUGGGGAAUAUUGGACAAUGGGCGAAAGCCUGAUCCAGCCAUGCCGCGUGUGUGAAGAAGGUCUUCGGAUUGUAAAGCACUUUAAGUUGGGAGGAAGGGCAGUAAGUUAAUACCUUGCUGUUUUGACGUUACCAACAGAAUAAGCACCGGCUAACUUCGUG